CCUACGGGGGGCUGCAGUGGGGAAUAUUGCACAAUGGGGGAAACCCUGAUGCAGCAACGCCGCGUGAAGGAAGACGGUUUUCGGAUUGUAAACUUCUGUUCUUAGUGAAGAAUAAUGACGUUAGCUAAGGAUCACGCCCCGGCUAACUACGUGCCAGCAGCCGCGGUAAUACGUAGGUGGCAAGCGUUGUCCGGAAUUACUGGGUGUAAAGGGAGCGCAGGCGGUAAGCCAAGUCAGGUGUGAAAACUACGGGCUUAACUUGUAGACUGCAGUUGAAACUGGUUUGCUUGAGUGAAGUAGAGGUAGGCGGAAGUCCGGGUGUAGCGGUGAAAUGCGUAGAUAUACGGAGGAACACCGAUGGCGAAGGCGGCCAACUGGGCUUUAACUGACGCUGAGGCUCGAAAGUGUGGGGAGCAAACAGGAUUAGAUACCCCUGUAGUC
RNAcentral lists this ribosomal RNA (441 nucleotides) under uncultured bacterium. RNAcentral's name for it is "partial 16S ribosomal RNA". It matches the Rfam family "Bacterial small subunit ribosomal RNA", at positions 338 to 795 of the family's 1533-position model. The record is from RNAcentral.